Long non-coding RNA from Trichogramma pretiosum, 630 nucleotides. RefSeq lists it as uncharacterized. NCBI's taxonomy places the organism in Eukaryota, Metazoa, Arthropoda, Insecta, Hymenoptera, Trichogrammatidae. The transcript has 3 exons. The record is from RefSeq and is a predicted model, not a curated record.
UCGUAGCAGAAACCUAUGAUUCCAACGACAACAUUAUAGAUAGGACUGGUGCAGUCAGUUUGGGGUGUCAAUUCUUUUUCAGGCUGCCCACCGAUAGAAACGGUUGCAACAUUCCACAUCGUCUUUCUCACUAGACAGCAUUUGAAGGUUGUAACUUGGAUUCAAAAUGGUUGAAACAUCUGUCAUUGUCCAUACAGUUGUGUGGAGUUUUAUGAUUGCUAUGGUAACAACAGAUUUUUUCAAUGGUAGAUGGGAUCUAACAGGUCCAUAUCCAAGAAGACCACUAGCAGAUCCCAGUCAAGAUAGGUGGCCCAAGAAGAAAAAGGAAGAACAAUAAUUCAGUCUUUGUUACAUCUAAUAUUAAGUAUCAUUGAAAAUGGUUUAGUAGAAAUCAAGUUAUGUGGCAAUAUGCUGGUUAACAUAAUAUUCAUGAGAAUAGAAUUUGAAAUAAUGGAUAUCUUAAAAAGCCAUAAUAUAUUCAAUGGAUUCUUUAAAAAAGGAAUGUGAUGUUAUUUAUUGUAACGACCGCUAAUGAUUUUUUUUUUCAAAUUUCAUGAUUCAAUUAUAUAUUCUGGUUAUUUUUGUUUAAAUAAAAAGAAGGUAGAAUACACAUUGCAACCAACAAACUAA